Molecule: long non-coding RNA, 421 nt
Organism: Pelmatolapia mariae (spotted tilapia)
Lineage: Eukaryota; Metazoa; Chordata; Actinopteri; Cichliformes; Cichlidae
Exons: 3
Source: RefSeq, a predicted model, not a curated record
UCUAAUGGGCCUCAGAUGACUGUUUGCUUAAAUUUGGGUCUCAAAGAAUCUUUUUUUAAUUCUGCCUGUACUCUCCACCCCUCUUCUUCUAUUGCUCAGGUUGAAGCAGAAUUUGCCCGUCUUACAUCUGUUGACCUGAAAGGGUUCCUUUUUGCUGUGCUUGACCAUUAUGGAGAGGUUCGUGGAGCUGUACAAAAUCAAGAGCGGCAUAGAAAGGCUAACUAGGCUCAUAAGAUGCUUCGGAGAUGAUAGCCCUACACAAAGGAAGAGGACAGAGGACCUCAUUUUCUAAAGGAAGAUCCCUCACACACUUUCAAGACUGUGAAGCCGACAGGUAUUGAAGACACGUUUUCUAAGAGGAUGAAAGUUGGCAUUGCGAUGGUGAAAGAAGAAGACAUCAUCGAUGUGUUGGUUGUCCUUG